CUUGUACUCCCUUCGUUCGAAAUUACUUGUCGCAGAAAUGGAUGUCUCUAGACGUAUUUUAAUUCUAGAUACAUCCAUUUCUAAGACAAGUAAUUCCGAACGAAGGGAGUACAUG
Non-coding RNA from Triticum urartu, 115 nucleotides. NCBI's taxonomy places the organism in Eukaryota, Viridiplantae, Streptophyta, Magnoliopsida, Poales, Poaceae. The record is from Rfam.